AGCAAUGUCUCCGAGAACCAGCAAUCCCCUCUGCCCCCAUGCACUCGUCCCCUGUGCCGUGGCCAUCCCAGCGACUGAACCCCAAACUUCUAUCAUUGAACCGCAGCGCCUCGUCUCUGGGAGCAAUCACACCUCCCUUCCUCCCUCCCUCCCUCCGCCCCAGGGCCCGGGCAGCCCCCGGGUGAGCCGCUCGGACGGCUCUGGAGUACGGCUGCUGUGUGCAGCCCUGGCGGCGCUCGGCCUCUCCGCCCGAGACGCAGUCCAGCACCGGCCCCGCUCGGCGCCCCAAGUGCAGCCCCGGGAGAGCUGUCCAAGGGUCGCCGGGACCCGCCGGGACACCCCGUGCUGGGGUGGCUCCGGGACGGUUCCAGGACACCCGUCUCGAGGUGUGCCCGAGAACUUCAGGGUGCGGAUCAGUGUCCCCUCCGCGCUCCGCGGCUGCAGGGACCGGCCGGAGGCAGCACGGAGUGGGACGAGAGGAGCCCCUGCCCGGCGCGAGGUUCCGGAGCUGAGAGGGAAGACACACACAGAAGAAAAUUAAGCAGCAGCACCUGAAUUCCACUCACCUCAUGGCAGCAUUCAGAUUUGCUUUGUAAGGGAAUGUAUAACCCAACAGCACUGGUUUUGCUCCACAUGUCCUGGAACACCACACAUGGCACUGUGGCGUAACACCCCAGAACAUCACUCACCUCCCUAGCUGCAGGUGAGUGCUUUCAUAAUUUUAAUGCCUCUGGUUUCACCUUCAGCAUCAGGGGAAGCCAUGUAGCCUCAGCCAGACAAAAUCCCUGCUUUUUCUUAGGGAUUAUUUAAUAGUUGGAUUUCACUAAACUUCCCUAAAACAUUGCCUUUCUUUUGAUCCUAGUUAUUAGAGUUGGCCCCAGGCAUGCUAAGAGCACAAGACUACUGAAGUGACAGUCCCCAGCAAAGCUGCCGGGACAGCUGCAGGCGCCAGGCAGGGACUGCCUGCCCCUGGCUGCCCACCCUAACAGGGACAUGCUCCCAGAUCCCAGCCCAGUGAUGGCAGCUUUCCAGCCCUCCAGCAGCAGCAAGCUGAUCCCCUUUCUCCUCUCCUGCCUGGCCCUGCUGCCACCCCCUUCUUCCCUGAGCCUCAGGAGCUGAGGCUGGCUCAGCUGAGCAUCUGCCCCUCGGACCCAGGCAGUGACUCUUGGAUUUGCCUACACGUCUCAGAGCCUUAGGCAGACCCUGUUGCUUGUUCUGUAACUCUUGAAAAGAAUAGUAGCUCUCAGCCUCAGCUUCUGUUUAGUUAGAUCACAUAUGCACAGGUGUGAUAGCUAAAAGCUUAGCAAUUAGAUUGCUGAAAGAAAAAUGUGACCUUUAGAAGUGACAUGAGAUGAUCUGGUGGGUUGUCAGUUCUGUUGCUGUUACUGGAUCAGUGGUGUGCUGCUGUCCCAGGGAGAUGGCUUCACUCUGCCCCCUGACUUUUCCUCCUCUCCCAGAUAUAGGUUUCACUCACAGUAUCACAGGAUUAACUAGGUUGGAAAUACCUUUGAGGUGACUUAGUCCAACCUAUGACCUAACACCACCUUGUCAACAAUACCAUGGCACUGAGUGGCAUGUCCAGUCUUUUCUUAACCAUCUCCAAGGAUGGUGACUCCACCACCUUCCUGGGCAGCCCUUUCCAAUGCCAAAACACUCUUUCUGUGUAGAAUCUUUUCCUUAUGUUAAGCCUAAACUUCCCCUGGUGCAGCUUAAGGCUGUGUUGUCUUAUCAUGUUAAUUGUCUGGGAGAAGAGACCAGCCCCCACCUGGCUGCACCCUCCUGUCAGGGUGAGUUGUAGAGAGUGAUGAGGACUGAUGAGCCUCCUCUUCUCCAGGAUCAGCAACCUCAGCCCUCUCAACUGCUCCUCACAGGGCUUGCAUUCCAGACCCCUCACCAGCCUUGUUGCCCUUCUCUGGACACACUCCAGCCCCUCAAUGUCCUUUCUAAAUUGGGGGACCCAGAACGGGACACAGCACUCAAGACAGGGAGUGGAAUGAGAUGGGCUUUAAGGUUACUGCCCACCCAAACCAUUCUGUGAUUCUAUGAUAGAUGUGUGACUGAAGUGUGGCUUCUCUCAGCAGGGAGAAGUGAUGCUCCCCAGUGUGGAAGAAACCAACCUGGUCCUGUACCAGGGAGUACUGUGUGCAGAGACCUGGAGAGUCCUUUCUUCCAAGGACAUUCUGUAUGCCCAUGCCCAGAUCCAUUUGGGCUCUUCCAGUGGCUCCUUUGGGCUAUCAGUGGCACAGAGCUCUGUAAAGAUGGCUCAUGUGACCUGCUUGCCUGCUGCAAACUCCAGUGUGUUUUCCUUGUUUCUAGUCGGUGUUAGGGAGGUGGUGGGUUCAACUUGGGGCCACAGCUCAGGAACUAUUUUCUUGUAUUACAAUUAAGUGCCAUCUAGUGCCACAGUAUAGAAAAACACAGCAGCACACGGGUACAUAUAUCCCAUUGGAGCCUGAAAAUGCUGAACUAAUUUGAGGAGAGAACAUUUUGGUUGCUUCUUUUAUAGAAGUGAAUAAAUUCAGUGUGACAGGCCAAGUGGCAUCAAUACACAUUCUGUUUGUCAGUAACUUGGAAAAACAAACACUCUGAGAACAACCAUUUGUGUCUUCAGUCCAAGAUAAAAUGUUGCUGUGAACACUCACAAAAGCUAUCUCCUCCAGCAUUGUUUGGGGCUAAUCAGCACGAUUCCAGUUAAGCAGACAUGGCCUUACAAAUUCAAUUAUUAAUUUCCUUCUCCUAAUAUCUGCUUUUUACAAAUGUCAGGAUUCAUUCUAUAUUUGGUUAUUCUCUACCAGAGAUGAUCUCUAUAUUAUAUAAACCUCAAGGAAACAUAGAAACAGAAUGAUUAGGGGACCUUAAAGUCAAUCCAGUUCCACCCCCUGCAAUGGCCAGAGACACCUUCCACUAGCACAGGCUGCUCCAAGACCCAUCCAGCCUGGCCCUGGACACUGCCAGGAAUGGGGCAGCCACAGAUUCUCUGGGCAGCCUGUGCCAGGGCCUCACCACCCUUGUAGUAAAGAAUUUAUUCCUAAUAUCCAGUCCAACACUGCCCUCCUUCAGUUUAAAGUUGCUUCCUGUUGUCCCAUUGCUCUAUGCCCUGGUGAAUACCAAGUAAAUUUCCCUCAUUUCAGAGAAACACCAUUCACUUGGGGGGACCGGCUCAGAACUUGUCCUGAACCAUGGCGUCUUUGUAAGGUUGGUGUGGUGAAGUUGGCACAUGUGAUCAAAUCCUGGGGAUCUGAUCUGCAUAACUCAAGUUCAUGUGACACCAGCAAGUGCUUUAGACCCUUGCACGAGAUGCAUAUUAGAUUUGCUUUUAUCCCUUCAAAACAGCAAAAGGAAGCAAUCUCUAAGGAGCAUAGUAAAGCGUUAUGCUGUUCCUGAGUGACAAUUUCAUUACAGACUUACAGAAAUGCAUUAUUAUCCUAAACCUAGUUCAUACUUCAGAAAUCAGGGAAGAAUUGCUAACCUGCCCCAAGUUUGACAAAAAAUUGAUCUCUCAGGGGAAGGAAAAAAAAAAAAAAAAAAAGCAUCUAUUGGAAUAAUACUGUAGUGUCAGGUUUUUCUCUGUGCUAGGAGAAAUGGAGAAAUGGUGGGAAAUUCACCGUAGAGGGAGAACAUUAACUAUUUGCAAGCCAAGACCAAUGAAAACCUUCUGGGCCUUGUCUUCAAAUGUGGAGCGGACAUCCUGCUCAAGUUUCCUAGGGACAGCAAAAGCUGUGCUGUAAAUCACUGAUUAUCUCAGUCUUUGCAAGAAGCAGAAAUGCUUAAAGAUCAAUAAAGUUGGAUCCUCAGCUAAUUUAACAGAGAGCUGUAACAAAAUCCAUCCAUUCAUACCAGCCAAGGAGCUCCGCAGUGUCCAUUCUAACAAAUAAAGAUAUAUUUUAUUUUAUGGUGGAUGCUCAGUGCUUUUCACAGCUCUGCAUUUCCUCUGUGAAAUUUUAAAUGGAUUGUUGUGUUGCCACAUUUCUCUUCACAGAGAAAAUCAAGGCACAAUUAUUCCCAAGAAUAUUUCUGGGUUUCACAUUCUCUCAAUUUCAGAGAAAGGAAAAAUAAUUUUAAUCUCAUUUGCUGUGCCUGUGUUUAUGUAAAAGUAGAAUGCAAUAUGGAGAUUGUUUACCCACAGGGAUGGUGUUUUGUUUCCUUGGCCUGUCAGGGCCAGGUGUAUGUGUGUGUGUGUGUGUGUGUGUGUGUGUGUGUGUUUGUGUCAGGACUCUGGGCUGACAGUCACAAGAUUCUGUGCAGGGUGUGCAGCUGAUUGCUUGGCAGAUUCAGUUUAGAUGUAAUGUAACACAGUGUAAUAUAAUAUAGAAUAAUACAGUAUGAUAAAGUAAUUAGCGAUAUGAUAUGAUAUGGUACGAUAUGAUAUGGUAUGAUGAUAUGAUAUGAUAUGAUGGAGUCCUCCUCAUCAUUCCUCCCUGCCACAGGGAUCCCUGCAAAUCCUAUAUUGUUGCAAUUCUAUUAAGCAAUUUUUAUUUUAACCUUUUGCACUUUUCAAUUCACACAAUGGAUUUGUCACAAAGUAGUGUAUUCAACUAUAAUUGCACAGAUGCUCUGCAACAUUGUCAGUUUGCUCAUUUAGCAAAGGGCAGUGAUUGAAGGAUAUGUGUGUACAUGUCCAGCAUCAACUUCAAAACAGACUGAACUGAUAUUGGUUAGUAUUUCUUCUUUGAGCUGGCUUCAGGGACUGAACAAGCAAAGUAUUGCCCACCAGCAAAGCCCUGGCACAUCAUUGUUGUUCAAGACAGUCAAAAUGGCACAAGAUGCUAAAAAGAGAAAAUAUUCAAGUAUUCUUUGCCACAGAUAUAAACAGUCUGGGACAGAAAUGUGAGAAAAAAAAUUCCCUGCCCUAGCAUCUGCCCUUGACCCACUUCAUGUCCUGUGGCCAAAGAAAGGAGACUCAAGGAGGGGAAACAAAUGUGGUCAGAACUACCCAGCAACGAACAAAGGAACAGACUGUUUAGCUACGGAAAGAGAUACCUGGGAAGACCCAGUACAGUUAUGUGCAACCUCAGGGUCCUGAGGAAGGUUACAGGGAAGCUGUUCAGUGCUGCUUCCCAGGCCAGACCUGGAAGAUGCCAGCACUAUAGCUUCAAAAAAGGGAAGAAAUUUUCCAGCCAAGGUGGGGUUUAGGUACAGAAUUCUUUGACACAAGAUAUUGAGGAUAUUAAAAAUAAAAAAAAAAAAAAAAAAAGAAUUUUCGGUGAAAAAUAUCAUCAGCUAAGUACUAGGUCAAAAAUCCUCUAAGGGGUUAUUAAAGGCCAGGUACCAUCUUUAGCUUGGGAUAUCUCUGAGAGUUGGGCAGUUGGCAGUCACACAUCCAUACAUGUUCCUUCACAGCUGCUUUGGAGACUGGUUCCUCACCUGGCUAAGCUCUGUGCUCUGUGCUCUGAUCAGGUACAGAUGCUCACCUCCCACAUCCACAAGCCUCAUUUCCACAUCACUGUUGGAGAAGGACAUACAUACAGUCCCAGUGUGCUCCAGCACAGUGAUUACUUUGUUCCAACUCUGAAGAUGCUUAUAAUGGACAUAAAAACAUAUCCCUCAUUUUCACUGCUCUACUGUAUUUUAUCUCUCUGAGCAGCUUCAGCAUCAAACAAGAAACUCACAGCGUUGUCAUCUUUCUCUCUCAAGUAGCUGUGAGCAUCUGUCAGUGACAAGUAAUUCCAUGAAAACAGAAAAAAGAUCUGGGAUUCACAUUCCCUCCCUUGCAUCAUCUUUAGAAGCAGUUUUACAUACAUGUAUAUGAUUGUGCUCACCUCGUGAGGAAUCAUGGGGUUCAGAUAAGAGAUAAAUCAAUUCUCCCUUGUGAGGGUGGUGAGGCCCAGGCACAGGAUGCCCAGAGAAUCUGUGGUUGCCCUAUACCUGGAGAGUCCAAGGACAAGUUAGACACUGGGGCUUGGAGCACCCUGGGAUAGUAGAAGAUGUCCCUGCUCAUGGUAGGACGUGGAUGAUCUUAAAGUCCCUUCCAAUCUAAACAAUACUGUGAUUCUAUGAUUUAACAAAAACCCUUAUUUGAUCACAACCAGGCAUUGGUAUGAUGGCACUAGUUCUCCUAAACCCUUAGUCAAUGAACUCUGUGUAACCCAUCAUAGCCAACAGAGGCUGGAAGAUGAGUAAACCAAAUGAGUACACUGAAAUCUAGCCUUUUUAUAAGAGAAUAACAUGAAUAAUAAAUAGUCCAUCUGAAUGGAUCAGUCCCUUUUGCCUCUGUGAAAACCUGGCCCAGAUUCCCUGGUGCUGAUGGUCUGCAGCAGACGCAGCAGGUAAGGACCAUCCAUUUCCCAGUUUUCCUGUUUCUCAGUAGAUUUGUCCAUGCUGACUUUGCCCCAGUGGACCCUGGACACAAUACCCCGAUCAUUUAGACACCCAUGAGCAAUUUGGGACCAGAGAUAUCAAAAGGUCACACAUAAUUUAGCAAAACCACAACUUCCUCCUUCAUUAUUUUGAAUGGAGACAUUGAUUUAAAAUAAAACCUCUUAACUGACUUUUUUGAUUUUGUGUAGUCUUCGUGUUGACAGUAAGGCUUGUCCAAGCUCAAAGAUGACAGCAGUAGAGCUCCGGUAUUGCUUGUACAGUACCAAAGGCUCAUAUGUAGGUGCAGAUGAUGUAGGUGAAUCAACUGGAUCCAGAUAAUUUCUGGAAUGCUGUGUCUCGCCGAAUUGUUCCUCAUCCUCAUCAAUGUCAUUCCUCAUCCUGAUCACCUCACUUUCUCAUCAUCUGCAAAAUAAGCCACCCACCAACAUGCAUCCCACCUCUAGGAAGGAAAUAAAUAAUUGGAGACUGGCCCCGUCUGUCUGCUCUGUCACUGCCUUUUUCCCUUGCCAGUUCUUUGUAUUUUUGCUCUUCUGUCUGAAAGCAUAACACCACAUCUUAAUAGGAAAAUUAAUAAGUAAACACUCAGAAUGAAAAAUUUGUGGGAAUGAGAUUAAAUACAGCUAAUUGAUUUGUUAAUGAAAUCUUCCUGAAAAAAAUCCAGGGUUGUUCAAACCCUUAAUCUGUGAUUGUCAAUUUACAGAAAAAUUGCAGGAAAAAAUGACAAAGAUCAGUUUAAUUCAGGCAAGAGAUGAUGGGCACCUUGGAGAGAGACAGCAGCUCCUGGAGAAGCAAAGCUUUAUCCAACUGUUGACAGGAAGGACCAAGAAAGCUCUCUCAAGAUUUGUGAGGUUUAGCUCCAAAACACAGCAGAACUUUGGCAUCCUGCAGUGCCUGAGAGCCCAGAGCACCACAGCUUGGUUUAAUUCUGCCCCAGCCAUGCUCAGAGCAGGAAUGCUUUGUCAAUGAGGCAGGUAGGUCUGGUGCCUUGACCUGACAGGCAGAGUCAGAAAGACCUGGUGGGUUUUACUUCAUGGUUGCAAGAAGCAAAGUGGAGAAGAUUUGUUGAUGCAGCUCCACAGGCCACAUCCCUCAUGGACAGACAAGGCUUAUUGUGAGAUUUUGGCAUCUUUUGUGAAAUGUGCUGAUGUCAGGACACUGCAGCUAUGGGUAUUGUACUUUUAAUACCCACUUAAUCAAAAUUCAGUCCCCUGGUUGAACUUAACUGCUGCUGCCAUAUUUAAAUUUUUUUCUCUGGUCUUAUCAUGGCAGAUAAUAAUUCAUAUAUAAUUCAGCCCUGUGCAGAGCUAGAAAGGGGCUCUUAGUGGCUUAAAUCUUAUUUAUGCACUAAUACGAAGGCAUGCGUAGUAUUUAUGGAAUGCUUAAUCCCUGUGCUAACCCUCUGCACAGAAGCAGCUCCCAAACACAGCAGAACAGCUUUUAUGACAAAUACUGUCAGCAACACCUAUUUCUUUAGCUUUGUGAGUUCCUACUUCCUUCCAAAGGAGAGAAGAUUAGGAAGGAGAACGAAACAAAGGUCCUAACCCUCCAGCCUUUGAUCUGGAUGAGAUUAGAUCCUGCUGUAAAUUUAGGACAAGCCUUCAGAGAUGUGUGGUGAUUUCUCAGAGCUUGAUUGUGAUUUCAAAGCAGCAUUGUAUUCUGGGACCUAGUGCUGGUCCAUCAAUGCCAACCAAGAGAGACUCUCCUACAACAGCUUUCUGUAGUCUGGGGCUGUUCUCUGAGGGUGCUUUGCUCUUGCAUUACUGCACGUUGGUUUGUUAAUGUGCUCACUAUGCACAUUUCCCUUGAUUUGCUUAAAAUCAUAGAAUGAUAGAACGUUAGCACAUUGUAAACAAACACCCCACCUCCAAACCAGAAAUGUUCCUAAAUGAGUAAAUUUUUAAGCACUCUAUAUCAUUACAUUUUCAAGGAAGCUUGGGAGAAGAAAUAACACACACUGGAAAGAAUUCCGUUUCAUGGUUAAAGCUACUCUUCAAGAAAUCUUUUCUGUGUAGACUCUUGGGAGAGGGUGGAUAGGGAAGAAAGAUGCAAGUCUCAAGAAAAUUUGCCAGUAGAUAAUCAAAUAACUGGCCUCUAAUUUUUUAUCAUCAUGGACUUCAGAUAUAUGAUUUAUUCACCAGUGUAAAAAAUAUACCAAACCCCAAACAAGGAUAAGUCCUUUUCUGUAGGUCCAAAAAAUACU
Molecule: RNA transcript, 8518 nt
Organism: Serinus canaria (Common canary)
Lineage: Eukaryota; Metazoa; Chordata; Aves; Passeriformes; Fringillidae
Exons: 2
Source: RefSeq, a predicted model, not a curated record